GAAAGGAGAGUGCCCUGUGCAGCAUGAACAGUAUGGCAUCCUCCACACCCAUAUGCGCUCGAUAGGCAAACUGUAAAGGAUCUAAAGCAGACUGUAG
Molecule: long non-coding RNA, 97 nt
Organism: Thalassophryne amazonica
Lineage: Eukaryota; Metazoa; Chordata; Actinopteri; Batrachoidiformes; Batrachoididae
Exons: 3
Source: RefSeq, a predicted model, not a curated record